CAACAGGGAUUGCCUUAGUAACUGCGAGUGAAGCGGCAAAAGCUCAAAUUUGAAAUCUGGCGUCUUCGGCGUCCGAGUUGUAAUUUGGAGGGGCAUCUUCGGAGUUGGCGCCGUCCUAAGUUCCUUGGAACAGGACGUCAUAGAGGGUGAGAAUCCCGUGCCUGGAUGGCUGUCCAUCUCCAUGUGAAGUGUCUCCGACGAGUCGAGUUGUUUGGGAAUGCAGCUCAAAAUGGGUGGUAAAUUUCAUCUAAAGCUAAAUAUUGGCGAGAGACCGAUAGCGCACAAGUAGAGUGAUCGAAAGAUGAAAAGCACUUUGAAAAGAGAGUUAAAAAGUACGUGAAAUUGUUGAAAGGGAAGCGCUUGAGACCAGACUCAAUCUUUGGUGAUCAGCUGUGCUUCUGUACAGUGCACUUGCCAUUGAUUGGGCCAGCAUCGGUUCUGACGGCGGGAUAAAAGGCAGAGGAAUGUGGCUCUCUUCGGGGAGUGUUAUAGCCUCAGUCACAAUGCCGCCAGUUGGGACCGAGGACCGCGCUUCGGCUAGGAUGCUGGCGUAAUGGUCUUAAGCGACCCGUCUUGAAACACGGACCAAGGAGUCUAACAUCUAUGCGAGUGUUCGGGUGGAAAACCCUUGCGCGUAAUGAAAGUGAACGGAGGUGGGAACUCGCAAGAGUGCACCAUCGACCGAUCCUGAUGUCUUCGGAAGGAUUUGAGUAAGAGCAUAGCUGUUGGGACCCGAAAGAUGGUGAACUAUGCCUGAAUAGGGUGAAGCCAGAGGAAACUCUGGUGGAGGCUCGCAGCGGUUCUGACGUGCAAAUCGAUCGUC
RNAcentral lists this ribosomal RNA (823 nucleotides) under Pseudaleuria quinaultiana. RNAcentral describes it as "eukaryotic LSU rRNA". It matches the Rfam family "Eukaryotic large subunit ribosomal RNA", at positions 66 to 906 of the family's 3401-position model. Lineage: Eukaryota; Fungi; Ascomycota; Pezizomycetes; Pezizales; Pyronemataceae. The record is from RNAcentral.